GUGCAGUGGUACAAUCUCAGCUCACUGCAAUCUUUGCCUCCCAAGCUCAAGUGAUUCUCCUGCCUCAGCUUCCCAAAGUAGCUGGGAUUAUAGAUAGCCCCAGGUGAUGCCCUGGCUGACAGCCCACAUUAACCAGGAGAUACUUGAGCAAGAAAACCUUUGACAGUAUUCUAACUCCAUACUGUUUAAAGGCAACCACAUCCUGAGCCAGAACUGCCUAGGAGGCAGAGGCUGGGCCUAGAAGGGCCUACCACAGGCAGGAGCCAGGCCUGGACAAGCCCACAAGAGGAGGCUUUGGGCCUGGAGAGGCCACUGACAGGCAGGAUCUGGGCCUGGAGAGGCCAACAUCAGGACCAUUUGGCCCUGACCAGGCCACUGGGAGGAGGCUGGAGCCAGGCCAAGAGA
This 405-nucleotide long non-coding RNA is filed under the name Callithrix jacchus (white-tufted-ear marmoset). RNAcentral describes it as "lncRNA (ENSCJAG00000087343.1)". Lineage: Eukaryota; Metazoa; Chordata; Mammalia; Primates; Cebidae. The record is from RNAcentral.